AACGAACGCUGGCGGCAUGCCUAACACAUGCCAGUCGAACGAGACCUUCGGGGCUAGUGGCGCAAGGGUGCGUAACGCGUGGGAACCUGCCCUUAGGUUCGGAAUAACUCCCCGAAAGGGGUGCUAAUACCGGAUAAUGUCUUCGGACCAAAGAUUUAUCGCCUUUGGAUGGGCCCGCGUUGGAUUAGCUAGUUGGUAGGGUAAAAGCCUACCAAGGCGACGAUCCAUAGCUGGUCUGAGAGGAUGAUCAGCCACACUGGGACUGAGACACGGCCCAGACUCCUACGGGAGGCAGCAGUGGGGAAUAUUGGACAAUGGGCGAAAGCCUGAUCCAGCAAUGCCGCGUGAGUGAUGAAGGCCUUAGGGUUGUAAAGCUCUUUUACCCGGGAUGAUAAUGACAGUACCGGGAGAAUAAGCUCCGGCUAACUCCGUG
This 433-nucleotide ribosomal RNA is filed under the name uncultured bacterium. RNAcentral describes it as "partial 16S ribosomal RNA". It matches the Rfam family "Bacterial small subunit ribosomal RNA", at positions 29 to 507 of the family's 1533-position model. The record is from RNAcentral.